This is a non-coding RNA of Zootoca vivipara (common lizard), 620 nucleotides long. The record is from RefSeq and is a predicted model, not a curated record. NCBI's taxonomy places the organism in Eukaryota, Metazoa, Chordata, Lepidosauria, Squamata, Lacertidae.
CCAUGAAGCUGGAGAAGCAGCUGAGAAUUCUGCCUUUUGGGUUGCAGCCUCCAUAGGCAGGCAGGCACUGAACUUAUAUGUGCUUUCCCCACGCGUCUGCUAAAUAUGGCUUUCUGGUUACUGGGAGUUGGUGAGCAGGACAGGAAGUGGCAUGUGGGAUCAGACAAAUGCAUUCCAACCAAUGUGGUCCCUUCGGAGAAAAAAAGUAGGAAACACAGCAACAGGCACUCAGUCACUCCUUCUAAAACUUGAGUAAUUAUACCAUAGGAGCCCUUCAAAUACUCUGACACAGGAAGGCUUGUUUAAUGUCUUUCAUAUCUGCCAGUGCAACUCUGGAUGCUCUUUUCUGCCUACAAUCUCUUAUACAGUCAUCUUGCAGGAUUAGACAGUUAAGCAAGAAGCUAUGUCUUUCCAUACAUGGUGUGUGCCCAAUCACUGUGAGCACGGAGGCAAGUGCACCCAGACGUGGGACAGCUUCUCUUGCAACUGUGAUGCGACCCUAUACAGUGGAGCCACGUGCCAUAACUAACUCAAGGCAGCAUGCCACUGAAGAGAUCAAUGUCAUCAAAAGACACUGCCUGGCAGAUUGAAGUGACUGUGUCAGACAGCAGACUUGGGGA